RNAcentral lists this ribosomal RNA (255 nucleotides) under uncultured bacterium. RNAcentral describes it as "partial 16S ribosomal RNA". It matches the Rfam family "Bacterial small subunit ribosomal RNA", at positions 524 to 776 of the family's 1533-position model. The record is from RNAcentral.
UACGUAGGAUCCGAGCGUUAUCCGGAGUGACUGGGCGUAAAGAGUUGCGUAGGUGGUUAUAUAAGCGAAUAGUGAAACCUGGUGGCUCAACCAUACAGACUAUUAUUCGAACUGUAUAACUCGAGAGUAGCAGAGGUAACUGGAAUUUCUUGUGUAGGAGUGAAAUCCGUAGAUAUAAGAAGGAACACCAAUGGCGUAGGCAGGUUACUGGGCUAUUUCUGACACUGAGGCACGAAAGCGUGGGGAGCGAACCGG